Molecule: ribosomal RNA, 196 nt
Filed under: uncultured bacterium
Lineage: Bacteria
Description: partial 16S ribosomal RNA
Rfam family: Bacterial small subunit ribosomal RNA
Source: RNAcentral
ACGCUCGACACCUACGGAGCAGCAGUGGGGAAUAUUGCACAAUGGGGGAAACCCUGAUGCAGCGACGCCGCGUGAAGGAAGAAGUAUUUCGGUAUGUAAACUUCUAUCAGCAGGGAAGAAACUGGCGGUACCUGACUAAGAAGCACCGGCUAAAUACGUGCCAGCAGCCGCGGUAAUCUGAGCGGGCUGGCAAGGC